GGCGGUUUGAUCAUGGCUCAGAACGAACGCUGGCGGCAUGCCUAACACAUGCAAGUCGAACGCCCCGCAAGGGGAGUGGCGCACGGGUGAGUAACGCGUGGGAACCUGCCCUGGAGUGGGGGAUAACCCGGCGAAAGCCGGGCUAAUACCGCAUACGCCCUGAGGGGGAAAGAUUUAUCGCUCUAGGAGGGGCCCGCGUCGGAUUAGCUAGUUGGUGAGGUAACGGCUCACCAAGGCGAUGAUCCGUAGCUGGUCUGAGAGGAUGAUCAGCCACACUGGGACUGAGACACGGCCCAGACUCCUACGGGAGGCAGCAGUGGGGAAUAUUGGACAAUGGGGGCAACCCUGAUCCAGCAAUGCCGCGUGAGUGAUGAAGGCCUUAGGGUUGUAAAGCUCUUUCGCCCGCGACGAUGAUGACGGUAGCGGGAGAAGAAGCCCCGGCUAACUUCGUGCCAGCAGCCGCGGUAAUAACCUAAAUAGC
This 481-nucleotide ribosomal RNA is filed under the name uncultured bacterium. Its description in RNAcentral is "bacterial SSU rRNA". It matches the Rfam family "Bacterial small subunit ribosomal RNA", at positions 9 to 535 of the family's 1533-position model. The record is from RNAcentral.